This 230-nucleotide long non-coding RNA is filed under the name Setaria italica (foxtail millet). RNAcentral's name for it is "long non-coding RNA (SITA_LNC007164)". The record is from RNAcentral. Lineage: Eukaryota; Viridiplantae; Streptophyta; Magnoliopsida; Poales; Poaceae.
UUUUGGCCCUGUUUGUAUACGCUUUUCUGGAACUCGCUUAUCUGGCAAGCAGGCUUAUCAGAUAAGCCUGCUGUCUGGAGAAUCCGCUGUCUGAAUAAGCUGGGUGUAUGGCAAUCCUGAUUAUUUUGUGUCGAUUGUCUGUCCUGACUGGUAAAUUGACCUGAAUGCCCUCGAGGCUGAUAAUAGCUCAUUUUUAUUGUGAAUAUGAGGAGAAGAUAAUAAUUCUAAUA